UUCGUAGGCGGCAUGAAAAGCAGGGUGUGAAAGCCCUCGGCUCAACCGAGGAAUUGCGCUCUGAACUGUCGUGCUCGAGGAAUCUAGAGGUGAGCGGAACUGAUGGUGGAGCGGUGAAAUGCGUUGAUAUCAUCAGGAACACCGGAGGCGAAGGCGGCUCACUGGGGAUUUUCUGACGCUGAGGAACGAAAGCCAGGGGAGCGAACG
RNAcentral lists this ribosomal RNA (207 nucleotides) under uncultured bacterium. RNAcentral's name for it is "partial 16S ribosomal RNA". It matches the Rfam family "Bacterial small subunit ribosomal RNA", at positions 568 to 774 of the family's 1533-position model. The record is from RNAcentral.